Molecule: long non-coding RNA, 507 nt
Filed under: Bos indicus x Bos taurus (hybrid cattle)
Lineage: Eukaryota; Metazoa; Chordata; Mammalia; Artiodactyla; Bovidae
Description: lncRNA (ENSBIXG00005030645.1)
Source: RNAcentral
CUUCUGGACUGGGUGCCCCGUGUCCUGUCUGCGCGGUGCGGGUGGAGAUGCUGCGAGGGUGAAGUGGAAUCAUGGCUGGUACACAUUCUGCAAACUGAAGGUUUCCAAGGGAGACGAAUGAAGGGUGAGGACCCCAGAUGGGUCAGAGGAGGCGCUCUGGGCAGGACACGCUGGGAAUCUGCCUGGAGACGGAAUUAUUAUGCAUUAACUGAGGACCAACCCCAUGACAGCUUGCCCUCUUCUGCCCGUGGAAAGAUGUCAGGACUCACACAGGGACACGUCCUGUCUUGCGUCUGCCACUGCUCCCUGGGUCACCCGGGUCCUCUGACAAGGCCCCUGUGUGUGACUGGAUCAGAACCACAUCCGGAACCACGUCCGCCAGCUCCCCUGCUGUGUGUCUCGGUGGGGGGAGGUAGCAUGUGCGGCCCGUGCCUGGGCCCACACAAGGUCAGUACCCACGUGGGCCCCGGGCUGCCACAGUGGACAGAGCAGGUUCAGCCUGUGUGA